RNAcentral lists this long non-coding RNA (145 nucleotides) under Anas platyrhynchos platyrhynchos (common mallard). RNAcentral describes it as "lncRNA (ENSAPLG00000017399.1)". Lineage: Eukaryota; Metazoa; Chordata; Aves; Anseriformes; Anatidae. The record is from RNAcentral.
AAGGACACAGUGGAUGGACACCACAGUGGACGGACACAAAGGACACCACAAGAAAAGGAUACAGAGUACAAAGCACAGAUCUCGGGUCCAACCCUACAAGAGAGCCUUGGUUUUACACAGCAGCAGCCUGGCCACAGCCUUCUGA